CUUCAUUUGCGGCAUUUGAACUGGUGGCCAUGCACGGCGAAAACACAUAUGUAGACGAGAGUUCUCUUCAUAUAAAUGUACAGAUUUCAGCAAAGGGAAGGCGCGUUGUGAAGGCUGAUCUUUUACAAUAUAAUCGUGAAAUGUAUAGAACCAGAUGGCACACGGAUGACAGGGAUGACCAAAUGUACCAGACUAACCACCCUUACCAUAGAUCAAACAAUCAU
This is a long non-coding RNA of Pelobates fuscus (common spadefoot toad), 224 nucleotides long. RefSeq lists it as uncharacterized. NCBI's taxonomy places the organism in Eukaryota, Metazoa, Chordata, Amphibia, Anura, Pelobatidae. The transcript is spliced from 3 exons. The record is from RefSeq and is a predicted model, not a curated record.